CCUUCCCACUCCGACACGGAGGCAGUGGCAGUGGCAGUGGCAGUGGCAGCUGUCCUGUAAACGAGCGACGUGGCGGCGAGAUCGUGGGUGGCUGCACCACUUCACGCUUUCAGUUCAACCUUCGUUGGUCGCUCCUGUGGCUCCGGCAGUGCUGUCAUUGGACUGACAGAAGAAGAAGAAGAAGAAGAAGCAGGACAAGAAUGAGUAAAUGACCCCUCCACUGUACAUGUAUCGUCUUCAUCCGCAGAACCCAGAUGCCUGAUUCGUCGUGAAGAUUGGUGGUGGGUUUUUUUUCUCCAUGACAGCGAUUCCGUCUUCUUCUUCUUCGCCGCCGCCAUCGUCGUCACCCCAUUUCGCCGCGCUUCUUCAUUCGUCGUCGUGCUCGUACUCGGGCUUGACCGGCUGUCGUGCCAUGUGCGCACGCUUCAACCGGAGGAGACUCGACGGGGACGGGCACUGCGUCAAGUUGGUCGUGGUCAUGGCGAAGAAGAAGAAGCCCUCCUCCUCCUCCUCUUCUCCUUCUUCUUCUUCUUCUUCUUCAUCCCAGGCUUCUGAACCGACACCUCUGAGAAUUACAUCGAAUGUCAAGCAGAAUUUGCAGUUUCUGAGGCUGUGGAAGGAUUUCCAAAAGAGGAACUCUGGCAUACCUAAGCCUGCUACCAGCUACCGCAGGAAGAAGUUGCCGAAGGAAGACCUUCCGGAUGAUGACAUGGAGCUCUACGGUGAUCCGACCCUUGCCCUCUACCAUACGAAUCAGGGUAUAGAAGAUGCGGUACCUGUCUUGCUCGUGGAUGGUUAUAACGUGUGUGGCUAUUGGGCAAAGCUGAAGAAACAUUUCGUGAGUGGCAGACUAGAUAUUGCGCGGCAGAAGUUGAUCAACGAACUAGUUUCAUUUAGCAUGCUCCGAGAGGUAAAGGUGGUGGUUGUAUUUGAUGCCAUGAUGUCAGGACUUCCAACACACAAGGAAAGUUUUAUUGGUGUUGAUAUAAUUUACUCCGGUGAAUCUUGUGCAGAUGCAUGGAUAGAGAAAGAGGUUGUUGCGUUGAAGGAAGAUGGGUGCCCCAGGGUUUGGGUUGUGACUUCGGAUCGCUUGCAGCAGCAAGCAGCGCAUGGAGCAGUAUGUGUUAUUGUUGAGUUAGAUUAUCAAAAGAUGUUUCAAGGAGCACGCACAAUUUCCUAAACAGACCUGCCAUGCGUCCUCUCACACUGUUCAGAUAAUUAUCUUCCGUCAAAGCUACCACAAACUUAAUGAUUGCGUGAUACUUGAGCUGAACAGUGAGCGCAAAUUAAUUCAAUUGUACUCUUGGCUUUUGCUGAACGAAAUGUCUAGACUUCGUAGAAGUUGUAAAUCACGUCAAUGACAUUAUGGAACUAAAAUCACCAGAAGUUGACAUGUAUUAUGGGCUGACUCAAAUUUUGAUUGACUAACAAUGCGUGGACUCGUGAGCUUUAUCCAAGUGCAGAUUAGAGGUUAGCCCGUGAUUUUCUUGCCAACACAUUAUGUAUCCCGUGAGUUCCAUUGUAGGUGUCAUUAUUCACUUUUCUUAGCAACUCUCAGGCCUUUAGUUUUACCCCAAAUAUGAAGUGCUCAACUUUAUCUGACAAUACACAAUUUCUUCUUCAUUUAAACCUCAGCCUUAACUUUUUGUGUUUGUUGUUUGAAGAUGCUUUAUAUAUCAAAUGUCAUAUUUUACACGGUCCAUGUUAAUUUCCAGUGCUAAUGUAGUUAAAAACUCAUUCUUGUUUGAUAGCCUCAUUGUUUUGAGAGCACGAAUAAUUGGUAGUGGCUGAUGGUUUAACGUAUGAAGAGAACUCUCAGCUUGUGGUUCAUGAGCUUGUAGUUAAGACUUGUAGCUUGGUCUUUCAUAUUAUAUGGCCCUCUCUGUCAUAUCAGAUGUUUAUUGUUAAGUACUGCAGGCAUAGUUAAGUAAGUGUUUCCUAUUCUAUGAAUCCUCUGAUAGUUUGCUGUGAUACUUUUAGGGAGCCUUUGUAUGGAGUUGCAAAGCAUUGGUUUCUGAGAUCAAAACAUAUCACAAGGAAGUGGAGAGGAUGCUUCAGGAACAAAGGACAAGUUCUUUUCAAGGAAAACUGUUGAAGCACAAUCUUGAUUCGGAAGUCGUAGAUGCACUCAAGGAUCUGAGGAAACAGCUUUCCGAAAA
Molecule: RNA transcript, 2159 nt
Organism: Syzygium oleosum
Lineage: Eukaryota; Viridiplantae; Streptophyta; Magnoliopsida; Myrtales; Myrtaceae
Exons: 10
Source: RefSeq, a predicted model, not a curated record